This is an RNA transcript of Oryzias melastigma (Indian medaka), 1958 nucleotides long. RefSeq lists it as uncharacterized. The transcript has 4 exons. Lineage: Eukaryota; Metazoa; Chordata; Actinopteri; Beloniformes; Adrianichthyidae. The record is from RefSeq and is a predicted model, not a curated record.
GGUUGCGUUGAGGACAAGAGGCAGCAGAAAGUUUGAAAGCUGCAGCUGCAGUUAAUUGGACAGAUUGUCAGAGUUGCAGCUGCGGUUUUAAUCAACAGUGUGCUGCUGUCAGCGUUUCAGGUGGAUUCUGCUGGAACUUACACUCAUGGCUCUUCAGUUACGGGUUUCAUGGCUUUUUAUGCUGAUGUGUGUUUGUUUUCUUCCACAAGACGGUUACAGACAUGUUCAUGGACUCUACCUGUUUGGGGGCCCACUAACUUCCGACCAGUUCAACCCUGGAAAGUUUUUGGAGGCUAACUUUGAGAACAAUCUAGAAUAUUUGAGACAACUCUAUAAAAACGGGAAUAAUGUCAGGCCUGUUCGGAGUCUCAUCGAAGAGGUGCAGCCAGGUCAUCCGGGCUCUGUUCAGAAGAGGGACAAGCCUUUGGUUUUCCAAAAGGAGAUGAGUAACGAUGGUGCUUGGAGAAGACGUGGAGCCGGUUGUCGAGAUGAAUGUCCCUCCUCUGACCCAGUUCGCUCCACCAAAAACCUCGUCUCCACCACACAAAAUCAAGAAUUUAGCCCGACCCCACAAAAACAAGUAGCUAUGAGACCUGAUUCAAGUGGUAAAGAGAAUGGCGGCCUUUCAAGAGGUAACAGAGAAACUUUCCGUUUCUCCAACAAACAAUUUGUCCAAUCCAACUACAAGCCACCAGGGCACACUCUGCUCUCAUUGGACUCAUCCUCAGGAAAAGAUUUUUUCAGUGGUCGCAGGAUUGUGUCUGCUCCUAACACUCCCAAGAGCCUUUCUCAAAGCUACAACCACUUAUCACGCAAGAAAAUGCCUUCGCUUCCUCUCAACGGUAAUGGAAAUGUCCUAAAGUCAAAGUACAGGUCGAACAGAAAAUAUCUAUCAAAGAGGUAUAAAACACCAUCAGCCAGCUUGGACAAAGGCCCCCAAAGAGGAAUCCAAACUGGCCCUCCCCCUCAGAAGCCCCAGUUUCUGAGCUCGUACGUACCAAGAAGUCAGCCCAACGUCAAACACUUAAAGAAACCAGCCCCGUUGUUUCAGUCCUUCCAAUCGAACGCCAGCAAAAGAGCAAAGAGCGUACACCAUCCUCCCGUGCUCAAUCAGGGCGUGUCUACUGGUUUUGUCGUGAUUUCCAACAACCGUUUCCCACAGAGCAUGAGAGGCCACAUAACUGUUCAGUAUAAACCUCCGAAGCUGCUGGAUAAUCCUCAUUUGGUGAUGAAAGUGCCCAGCUCUCGCCAUUCCUCUACCACAGAGUGCAAGUACCUGGAUUAUCAGAAGGUUGAUGCCAGGACUCCUCAGAAGGACGACGUAAAGCUGGACCUCCAUGGUCAAAACCUGGUCCCUGACCUUCAGGAGUCCAAUACAAGUGUUACCAAACCAAGAGAAGCCAAUUUAAAGCAGAGAGUAAUGCCUUCAAAUCUAUCAGAAAAUCAACUGAAAUCCUUUUCCGCGCAAGAUCAAUUCCUCCUCAUAAACGGAGGGUAUGAGGAUGCGUUGAAAGCUGGUCUCUUGAAGCCUCUCAGCCAGCCCGACUUUCCAAUCCUCUCGAGCAUAUUGAAUGAAGACCCAGCAACGCUGGAGCCCUGGCCCUCACUGUUGCUGCCCGAACCCCAAGAUUCUAACUGUGUAGUUUGGAAAGACACACAAAGAUCCCCUCCUCAGAAGUCUCAAAGGUUGUCACAGCCGUCCGAAAACGGAUAUCUUGCCUCCAAAAAUCGUUCUGCAAGAGCUACCGCCUCUGUGUCAAAGAUCUGCUUCACACCAAGUCGGUGGGUUCAAGGCAAAGUUGCUAAAUUAGCCACAAGGCGACGUGUAUGAUGGCACAAGAUCUACAAUAAAAAGACUUCCCUAAGAAGAUCCAGCUGCUAAAUUGAGAUAAACUGUCCUGUUUCCAGCUGCAAUUCAAGCUGUGGUAUUGAUCAUAGUAAAAACCUGAACUAUUCUA